GAGGAAAAUCUUUUAAGAUUCUGAUGAAGAAGAAAAGGAAUAAGAUUCUCAGGUGAACGCUAGGGUAAUAUGCUGACUCAUAAAGUCUUUCUUUUUGCCAUCAUUGUCACCUUUAUUCAUUGUGACGAGAAUGAAAUACGGUUGGAACAAGAUCUAAUGAGAAACUACAGCAAAAACAUCCGACCAUCCAAGAACCACAGGGACCGUCUAGACGUUCUUCUGACAGUAUCUUUAAUCGGCAUUGUUC
Molecule: long non-coding RNA, 247 nt
Organism: Saccostrea echinata
Lineage: Eukaryota; Metazoa; Mollusca; Bivalvia; Ostreida; Ostreidae
Exons: 3
Source: RefSeq, a predicted model, not a curated record